AUUUGGCUUAAUCCUAGUGGCGGACGGGUGAGUAACGCGUGGGUAACCUGCCUUGUACAGGGGGAUAACAGUCAGAAAUGACUGCUAAUACCGCAUAAGCGCACAGGACCGCAUGGUCCGGUGUGAAAAACUCCGGUGGUAUAAGAUGGACCCGCGUUGGAUUAGCUUGUUGGUGGGGUAACGGCCCACCAAGGCGACGAUCCAUAGCCGGCCUGAGAGGGUGAACGGCCACAUUGGGACUGAGACACGGCCCAGACUCCUACGGGAGGCAGCAGUGGGGAAUAUUGCACAAUGGGGGAAACCCUGAUGCAGCGACGCCGCGUGAAGGAAGAAGUAUCUCGGUAUGUAAACUUCUAUCAGCAGGGAAGAAAAUGACGGUACCUGACUAAGAAGCCCCGGCUAACUACGUGCCAGCAGCCGCGGUAAUACGUAGGGGGCAAGCGUUAUCCGGAUUUACUGGGUGUAAAGGGAGCGUAGACGGAUGGACAAGUCUGAUGUGAAAGGCUGGGGCUCAACCCCGGGACUGCAUUGGAAACUGCCCGUCUUGAGUGCCGGAGAGGUAAGCGGAAUUCCUAGUGUAGCGGUGAAAUGCGUAGAUAUUAGGAGGAACACCAGUGGCGAAGGCGGCUUACUGGACGGUAACUG
RNAcentral lists this ribosomal RNA (645 nucleotides) under uncultured Lachnospiraceae bacterium. Its description in RNAcentral is "bacterial SSU rRNA". It matches the Rfam family "Bacterial small subunit ribosomal RNA", at positions 79 to 742 of the family's 1533-position model. Lineage: Bacteria; Bacillati; Bacillota; Clostridia; Lachnospirales; Lachnospiraceae. The record is from RNAcentral.